GACAAGAUUUAACGGCCGCGUACCCUAACCGUGCGAAGGUAGCAUAAUCACUUGUUCUUUAAAUGAGGACCGGUAUCAACGGCACCACGAGGAUCUUACUGUCUCCCCCCUCUAAUCAGUGAAACUGAUCUCCCCGUGAAGAAGCGGGGAUAUUUAUAUAAGACGAGAAGACCCCAUGGAGCUUUAAACCCGACAGCACCCGCCUAACCUACACCCCUCUAUUGACCCGGCCCCUGUCUGCUCGGUUUUAGGUUGGGGUGACCACGGAGUAUAAAACAACCUCCACGAAGAAAGGAGUAAUAAUCCUCAUCUAAGAGCCACACCUCUAAGAGCUAACAUAUUAACUUUUAAUGAUCCGAUAUUUGAUCAACGAACCAAGUUACCCUGGGGAUAACAGCGCAAUCCACCUCAAGAGCUCCUAUCGACAGGUGGGUUUACGACCUCGAUGUUGGAUCAGGGUAUCCCAGUGGUGCAGCAGCUACCAAAGGUUCGUUUGUUCAACGAUUAAAACCCU
RNAcentral lists this ribosomal RNA (514 nucleotides) under Boophis periegetes. Its description in RNAcentral is "partial 16S ribosomal RNA". It matches the Rfam family "Bacterial large subunit ribosomal RNA", at positions 1916 to 2597 of the family's 2925-position model. The record is from RNAcentral. Lineage: Eukaryota; Metazoa; Chordata; Amphibia; Anura; Mantellidae.